GGGUUGUGAGGUUAAGCGACUAAGCGUACACGGUGGAUGCCCUGGCAGUCAGAGGCGAUGAAGGGCGUGCUAAUCUGCGAUAAGCGCCGGUAAGGUGAUAUGAACCGUUAUAACCGGCGAUACCCGAAUGGGGAAACCCAGUGUGAUUCGUCACACUAUCAUUAACUGAAUCCAUAGGUUAAUGAGGCGAACCGGGGGAACUGAAACAUCUAAGUACCCCGAGGAAAAGAAAUCAACCGAGAUUCCCCCAGUAGCGGCGAGCGAACGGGGAGGAGCCCAGAGCCUGAAUCAGCAUGUGUGUUAGUGGAAGCGUCUGGAAAGGCGCGCGAUACAGGGUGACAGCCCCGUACACAAAAGCGCAUGUGCUGUGAGCUCGAUGAGUAGGGCGGGACACGUGGUAUCCUGUCUGAAUAUGGGGGGACCAUCCUCCAAGGCUAAAUACUCCUGACUGACCGAUAGUGAACCAGUACCGUGAGGGAAAGGCGAAAAGAACCCCGGCGAGGGGAGUGAAAAAGAACCUGAAACCGUGUACGUACAAGCAGUGGGAGCACAGGUUUACCUGUGUGACUGCGUACCUUUUGUAUAAUGGGUCAGCGACUUAUAUUCUGUAGCAAGGUUAACCGAAUAGGGGAGCCGGAGGGAAACCGAGUCUUAAUUGGGCGUUAAGUUGCAGGGUAUAGACCCGAAACCCGGUGAUCUAGCCAUGGGCAGGUUGAAGGUUGGGUAACACUAACUGGAGGACCGAACCGACUAAUGUUGAAAAAUUAGCGGAUGACCUGUGGCUGGGGGUGAAAGGCCAAUCAAACCGGGAGAUAGCUGGUUCUCCCCGAAAGCUAUUUAGGUAGCGCCUCGUGAAUUCAUCUCCGGGGGUAGAGCACUGUUUCGGCUAGGGGGCCAUCCCGGCUUACCAACCCGAUGCAAACUGCGAAUACCGGAGAAUGUUAUCACGGGAGACACACGGCGGGUGCUAACGUCCGUCGUGAAGAGGGAAACAACCCAGACCGCCAGCUAAGGUCCCAAAGUCAUGGUUAAGUGGGAAACGAUGUGGGAAGGCCCAGACAGCCAGGAUGUUGGCUUAGAAGCAGCCAUCAUUUAAAGAAAGCGUAAUAGCUCACUGGUCGAGUCGGCCUGCGCGGAAGAUGUAACGGGGCUAAACCAUGCACCGAAGCUGCGGCAGCGACGCUUAUGCGUUGUUGGGUAGGGGAGCGUUCUGUAAGCCUGUGAAGGUGUGUCGUGAGGCAUGCUGGAGGUAUCAGAAGUGCGAAUGCUGACAUAAGUAACGAUAAAGCGGGUGAAAAGCCCGCUCGCCGGAAGACCAAGGGUUCCUGUCCAACGUUAAUCGGGGCAGGGUGAGUCGACCCCUAAGGCGAGGCCGAAAGGCGUAGUCGAUGGGAAACGGGUUAAUAUUCCCGUACUUGGUGUUACUGCGAAGGGGGGACGGAGAAGGCUAUGUUGGCCGGGCGACGGUUGUCCCGGUUUAAGCGUGUAGGCUGGUUUUCCAGGCAAAUCCGGAAAAUCAAGGCUGAGGCGUGACGACGAGGCACUACGGUGCUGAAGCAACAAAUGCCCUGCUUCCAGGAAAAGCCUCUAAGCAUCAGGUAACAUCAAAUCGUACCUCAAACCGACACAGGUGGUCAGGUAGAGAAUACCAAGGCGCUUGAGAGAACUCGGGUGAAGGAACUAGGCAAAAUGGUGCCGUAACUUCGGGAGAAGGCACGCUGACAUGUAGGUGAAGUGAUUUACUCAUGGAGCUGAAGUCAGUCGAAGAUACCAGCUGGCUGCAACUGUUUAUUAAAAACACAGCACUGUGCAAACACGAAAGUGGACGUAUACGGUGUGACGCCUGCCCGGUGCCGGAAGGUUAAUUGAUGGGGUCAGCGCAAGCGAAGCUCCUGAUCGAAGCCCCGGUAAACGGCGGCCGUAACUAUAACGGUCCUAAGGUAGCGAAAUUCCUUGUCGGGUAAGUUCCGACCUGCACGAAUGGCGUAAUGAUGGCCAGGCUGUCUCCACCCGAGACUCAGUGAAAUUGAACUCGCUGUGAAGAUGCAGUGUACCCGCGGCAAGACGGAAAGACCCCGUGAACCUUUACUAUAGCUUGACACUGAACAUUGAGCCUUGAUGUGUAGGAUAGGUGGGAGGCUUUGAAGUGUGGACGCCAGUCUGCAUGGAGCCGACCUUGAAAUACCACCCUUUAAUGUUUGAUGUUCUAACGUGGACCCGUGAUCCGGGUUGCGGACAGUGUCUGGUGGGUAGUUUGACUGGGGCGGUCUCCUCCUAAAGAGUAACGGAGGAGCACGAAGGUUGGCUAAUCCUGGUCGGACAUCAGGAGGUUAGUGCAAUGGCAUAAGCCAGCUUGACUGCGAGCGUGACGGCGCGAGCAGGUGCGAAAGCAGGUCAUAGUGAUCCGGUGGUUCUGAAUGGAAGGGCCAUCGCUCAACGGAUAAAAGGUACUCCGGGGAUAACAGGCUGAUACCGCCCAAGAGUUCAUAUCGACGGCGGUGUUUGGCACCUCGAUGUCGGCUCAUCACAUCCUGGGGCUGAAGUAGGUCCCAAGGGUAUGGCUGUUCGCCAUUUAAAGUGGUACGCGAGCUGGGUUUAGAACGUCGUGAGACAGUUCGGUCCCUAUCUGCCGUGGGCGCUGGAGAACUGAGGGGGGCUGCUCCUAGUACGAGAGGACCGGAGUGGACGCAUCACUGGUGUUCGGGUUGUCAUGCCAAUGGCACUGCCCGGUAGCUAAAUGCGGAAGAGAUAAGUGCUGAAAGCAUCUAAGCACGAAACUUGCCCCGAGAUGAGUUCUCCCUGAGACUUAGAGUCUCCUGAAGGAACGUUGAAGACGACGACGUUGAUAGGCCGGGUGUGUAAGCGCAGCGAUGCGUUGAGCUAACCGGUACUAAUGAACCGUGAGGCUUAACCUUACAACGCCGAAG
This 2927-nucleotide ribosomal RNA is filed under the name Salmonella enterica subsp. enterica serovar Anatum. Its description in RNAcentral is "23S ribosomal RNA". It matches the Rfam family "Bacterial large subunit ribosomal RNA". Lineage: Bacteria; Pseudomonadati; Pseudomonadota; Gammaproteobacteria; Enterobacterales; Enterobacteriaceae. The record is from RNAcentral.